CGCUGGCGGCGUGCCUAAUACAUGCAAGUCGAGCGAACAGAAGGGAGCUUGCUCCCGGAUGUUAGCGGCGGACGGGUGAGUAACACGUGGGUAACCUGCCUGUAAGACUGGGAUAACUCCGGGAAACCGGAGCUAAUACCGGAUAGUUCCUUGAACCGCAUGGUUCAAGGAUGAAAGACGGUUUCGGCUGUCACUUACAGAUGGACCCGCGGCGCAUUAGCUAGUUGGUGGGGUAAUGGCUCACCAAGGCGACGAUGCGUAGCCGACCUGAGAGGGUGAUCGGCCACACUGGGACUGAGACACGGCCCAGACUCCUACGGGAGGCAGCAGUAGGGAAUCUUCCGCAAUGGACGAAAGUCUGACGGAGCAACGCCGCGUGAGUGAUGAAGGUUUUCGGAUCGUAAAGCUCUGUUGUUAGGGAAGAACAAGUGCGAGAGUAACUGCUCGCACCUUGACGGUACCUAACCAGAAAGCCACGGCUAACUACGUGCCAGCAGCCGCGGUAAUACGUAGGUGGCAAGCGUUGUCCGGAAUUAUUGGGCGUAAAGGGCUCGCAGGCGGUUUCUUAAGUCUGAUGUGAAAGCCCCCGGCUCAACCGGGGAGGGUCAUUGGAAACUGGGAAACUUGAGUGCAGAAGAGGAGAGUGGAAUUCCACGUGUAGCGGUGA
Molecule: ribosomal RNA, 667 nt
Filed under: Bacillus sp. (in: firmicutes)
Lineage: Bacteria; Bacillati; Bacillota; Bacilli; Caryophanales; Bacillaceae
Description: bacterial SSU rRNA
Rfam family: Bacterial small subunit ribosomal RNA
Source: RNAcentral